CGGGGUGUGGCGCGGGGGGCGGGGCGAGGGGCGGGGCUUCCCGCCGAAAGGGGGCGGGGCGAGCGGGGCGGGGGCGGGGCGAGGCGAGGGGAGGCUGGCGAGCAGAGAGUGCCCUUGUGUCGCCAGCCGGCGAGCGGCUGGGAGCGAGCAGCCGCCCCGCGCCGCCAGCGGGACGGGACGGGACAGCCCGGGACGGGACGGGGCAGCGCAGCGCAGCACGGCGCGGGACAGGCCGGGCCGGGCCGCAGGGGCAGCCGGACCGACCCCGCGGUAGGGGCGAGGGGAGCCAGCGGGGGCAGCCGGCAGCGCUCGGCGGGGGGAAGCAGCCCGGCGGCGGCGGCGGCAGCGGCAGAGCCGGCGGGGAGAGCCGCUCCCCCCCCUUCCCUCCCCAAUCCACCCCCGCGACCCCGGCCCUCCUCCUCCUCCUCCUCCUCCUCCUCCUCACCCCACUGGAUACAGCGAGGGAGACACUGCGGCGGCGGAGGCGGCGGCGGCGGCGGCUCCUGCGGGGGGAAGGAAGCGCCCGGAGAGCGGAGCGGCGGGAGGCUGCGGAUCUGCGUGCCUGGCGCCCACCCAGCCCGAGGGGAGCCCCCAGGAUGCGGCUCAAGCCCGGCGCGCUCCUGCGCCUCUACAGCCUCUGCGGGAUCCUCAUGCAAGGUAACCGCCUCCUCCGCACCCCUCGGCGGGGACCCCGCGGGGCUCCCCUCAGCCCCCCCCAACCCCAGCGGCCGCCCCCUUGCAGCGUCGCCCCCCGCCCGCCCGCCCGGCAGGGGCAGGGGCAGGGGCAGGGGCUCCGCGCCCCGCUCCGUGCCGCCGCCGCGGCCGUACAGGGGCGCCUAUGGAGCCCUACAGAGCUCGGCGCGGGUGUGCGUGCAGCGCGUGUGCGCCGAGAGCAGGGAGCCAGCCCGGAGCUCCUCGACGCCCCGCUCCGAGCCGCUGUCCUCCCGCAGCGAGUUUCCAGACUCACCGUGUAGCCCUCGUCCCUCCUCCUCCUCCUCCUCCUCCUCCUGCGCCUCCCCUCCCGCCGCACCGCCGCCGCUCCGCUUAAUUAACACGAGCGAAAGGGAACAACCGCUGCGGCCGCGGCGGAGGGGAACCCGCGGAGCACCAUUAUCAUGCAAAUGACUGGCGUGUGCGGCCGGGGGAGGCCCCCCGUGCACCCCCCGGCACCCCCUCAGCCCCCCCCCGGAGCUCCCCCGGUGCUGCCGGGCAGAGUUUCCCCGCCCGGGGGGCGGCGCAGCCCCCCCUGCCCCCGCCGCCCUCCUGAGGGGCCGGGGCGGGGCGAGGGGCGGCGGGGGGGGGGCUGGGAGGGGGGGCGUUGAAACGGAGCGACCUUGCGGGGUUUUUUGCGUCCCCUGGGCUCCGCGUCGAGUUGGGCACGGGGCUGGGCUGCGGGGAGAGGGGCGCGGGGGGGCCUCGGCGCUGUCACCUCGCCGUGAAGUGAGCGGCCCUUUGGGGGGGGGACCGAGGGGGCUCGGCAGCGGGCAGCGCCGGCUUCCCGGGGCAGG
This 1508-nucleotide long non-coding RNA is filed under the name Anas platyrhynchos platyrhynchos (common mallard). RNAcentral's name for it is "lncRNA (ENSAPLG00000028459.1)". Lineage: Eukaryota; Metazoa; Chordata; Aves; Anseriformes; Anatidae. The record is from RNAcentral.